This 50-nucleotide transfer RNA is filed under the name Acipenser sinensis (Chinese sturgeon). Its description in RNAcentral is "partial tRNA-Phe". The record is from RNAcentral. Lineage: Eukaryota; Metazoa; Chordata; Actinopteri; Acipenseriformes; Acipenseridae.
AAGCAUAACACUGAAGAUGUUAAGAUGAGCCUUAGACAGCUCCGCAGGCA